UCAUUAAACUAACAACAACAACAACAAAAAAAAAAUAAGGAUAUAUAUAUUAAAAAAAAAAUAAAAAAUGGAUAAUUCACUGGGUCCUUCGGAUUUAGAGUGUUUAAUCUGUGCUGAUGUGUUUUAUGAACCAGUGACACUUCCAUGUGGACAUACAUUUGAUAAAGCAUGUCUUUGUAA
Molecule: ribosomal RNA, 180 nt
Filed under: Percolomonas cosmopolitus
Lineage: Eukaryota; Heterolobosea; Eutetramitea; Percolomonadida; Percolomonadidae
Description: partial Trypanosomatid mitochondrial large subunit ribosomal RNA
Source: RNAcentral